AACUGAGCGACUGAACACACAAAGACAACAGUGGGAGCUUCUGAUUUUCUUAAAUCCUGUUCCCUGCAAGAAGGUUCUCCAUUCCAUGAACCAACAUCCUGGUUGC
This 106-nucleotide long non-coding RNA is filed under the name Bos indicus x Bos taurus (hybrid cattle). RNAcentral's name for it is "lncRNA (ENSBIXG00005014878.1)". The record is from RNAcentral. Lineage: Eukaryota; Metazoa; Chordata; Mammalia; Artiodactyla; Bovidae.